GGAGGAUACGGUGCAAGUGGAGAGUUCACUCUCUCUUCUGUGUUAACUCCUCCUUUAUUUUUCUUAUUUUUGGAACAUUGUAAUUAUGAUUUACAAUCAUAAUUUGCUAAUGAGUCAUUUAUCUUUGUAAUUAGAUUAGGUUAAUUUUUGUAUUAAUAUUUGGAUUAUGGAUGGAGUUUUUGGAGCAACAAGAAGUGACGAUUUCAAGAAGCUUUGUCAUCUUCGUUUCGUAAUCGGUAUUGGAAUCAUCGUGUAAGUGGCACUUAGGGACACAUCACUGUUAGGAGCAUUCGCAUGUGUUGUAUUUCAAUUUACAUUGUAAUUUCUUUUAAAAUUUGUUCAAACCCAUUGUAAAUUUGUAAUGAUUUUUAAUACUAUGGUUGGUGUUGUCUUUUAA
This is a long non-coding RNA of Lactuca sativa (garden lettuce), 397 nucleotides long. RefSeq lists it as uncharacterized. Lineage: Eukaryota; Viridiplantae; Streptophyta; Magnoliopsida; Asterales; Asteraceae. The record is from RefSeq and is a predicted model, not a curated record.